CACCUCCACCACCACCAUACUACUACCACUCUCCUCCUCCUCCAGUCAAAUCACCACCGCCACCGUACUACUACCACUCCCCGCCUCCUCCGGUGAAAUCCCCACCACCACCAUAUUACUACCACUCACCACCUCCACCGGUGAAAUCUCCACCACCACCAUACUAUUACCACUCACCACCUCCUCCGGUGAAGUCUCCUCCACCACCAUACUACUAUCACUCUCCACCACCACCGGUGAAAUCUCCUCCUCCUUACUAUUAUCAUUCUCCACCUCCUCCGGUGAAAUCUCCUCCACCACCGUACUACUACCAUUCUCCACCUCCUCCAGUCAAGUCUCCACCACCACCGUACUACUAUCAUUCACCACCUCCUCCGGUGAAAUCUCCACCACCACCAUACUAUUACCACUCACCACCCCCACCUGUGAAAUCUCCUCCUCCACCAUACUACUAUCACUCACCUCCUCCUCCGGUGAAAUCUCCACCACCACCAUACUAUUACCAUUCACCACCCCCUCCAGUCAAAUCUCCUCCUCCACCAUACUACUACCACUCACCACCUCCUCCAGUGAAAUCUCCACCACCACCAUACUAUUACAACUCUCCACCACCACCGGUGAAAUCUCCUCCACCUCCAGUCUACAUCUACGCUUCUCCCCCACCUCCCACCCAUUACUAGGCUCAUCAAAUUCAACCAAAUUUCCCCAUUAUUCAAGUAAGUCCCCACGGUCCAAAACGUUCAAGUUACUCUUUAUCACCCACUUCAAUAUUACUUUGUCCUAAAAUCUCAGUUUCUUUCUUCACAGGU
RNAcentral lists this long non-coding RNA (809 nucleotides) under Eutrema salsugineum. RNAcentral's name for it is "long non-coding RNA (ESAL_LNC001003)". The record is from RNAcentral. Lineage: Eukaryota; Viridiplantae; Streptophyta; Magnoliopsida; Brassicales; Brassicaceae.